Molecule: ribosomal RNA, 81 nt
Filed under: Escherichia coli
Lineage: Bacteria; Pseudomonadati; Pseudomonadota; Gammaproteobacteria; Enterobacterales; Enterobacteriaceae
Description: partial 16S ribosomal RNA
Rfam family: Bacterial small subunit ribosomal RNA
Source: RNAcentral
AAAUUGAAGAGUUUGAUCAUGGCUCAGAUUGAACGCUGGCGGCAGGCCUAACACAUGCAAGUCGAACGGUAACAGGGAUCA